Molecule: ribosomal RNA, 2805 nt
Rfam family: Bacterial large subunit ribosomal RNA
GUGGACUCUCAAGCGUGAGGUAAGGGCAUCUGGUGAAUGCCUUGGCAUGUACAGGCGAUGAAGGACGUGGCACGCUGCGAUAAGCGUGGGGGAGCUGUGAGCAAGCUUUGAUCCCACGAUUUCCGAAUGGGACAACCCACCUUCACCAUUUAAGGCUGCGCCAGCUUUUUGCUGGAUCAGCGUUAAAUGGGAAAGGUAUCACUAAGCUGAAUAAAAUAGGCUUUGGUGAGGCGAACCCGGAGAACUGAAACAUCUCAGUACCCGGAGGAAAAGACAUCAACCGAGAUUCCGUUAGUAGUGGCGAGCGAACGCGGACCAGGCCAGUGCCGGUUUCUAAAUUAGCAGAACAAUCUGGAAAGUUUGACCAUAGCGGGUGACAGUCCCGUAUGCGAAAAUGAGGAAACCGGACUUGAGUAGGGCGGGGCACGUGAAACCCUGUCUGAACAUGGGGGGACCACCCUCCAAGCCUAAAUACUCGUACAUGACCGAUAGCGAACCAGUACCGUGAGGGAAAGGUGAAAAGCACCCCGAUGAGGGGAGUGAAACAGUACCUGAAACCGGAUGCCUACAAGCAGUGGGAGGGUCCUUGAGACCUGACCGCGUACCUCUUGCAUAAUGGGUCUGUGACUUAGUGUAUCGAGCAAGCUUAAGCCGUUAGGUGUAGGCGCAGCGAAAGCGAGUCUGAAUAGGGCGACCAUAGUUCGAUGCAUUAGACCCGAAACCCGGCGAUCUAUGCAUGACCAGGUUGAAGGUGCGGUAACACGCACUGGAGGACCGAACCGUUUAAUGUUGAAAAAUUAUCGGAUGAGUUGUGCUUAGGGGUGAAAGGCCAAUCAAGCCGGGAAAUAGCUGGUUCUCCGCGAAAUCUAUUGAGGUAGAGCGUCGGAUGAUUGCCGUUGGGGGUAGAGCACUGGAUGGUUGCGGGGGUCGCGAGAUCUACCAAUACUAACCAAACUCCGAAUACCAACGAGUCUAGUCCGGCAGACAGACGGCGGGUGCUAAGGUCCGUCGUCAAAAGGGAAACAGCCCUAACCUACAGCUAAGGUCCCCAAGUCAUCACUAAGUGGGAAAGCAUGUGGGAUUUCCAAAACAACCAGGAGGUUGGCUUAGAAGCAGCCAUCCUUUAAAGAAAGCGUAACAGCUCACUGGUCUAAAUAAGAGAUCCUGCGGCGAAGAUGUAACGGGGCUAAAGUGAUGCACCGAAGCUUAGGGUGUGUAGUUUACUACACGCGGUAGCGGAGCGUUCCGUAGGCCGUUGAAGCGGGAGGGUAACCGACCGUGGAGGUAUCGGAAGUGCGAAUGCAGACAUGAGUAGCGAUUAACAGUGUGAGAUGCACUGUCGCCGAAAUUCCAAGGGUUCCUGCUUAAAGCUAAUCUGAGCAGGGUAAGCCGGCCCCUAAGACGAGCCCGAAGGGGGUAGUCGAUGGGAACCACGUUAAUAUUCGUGGGCCUGGAGGUGUGUGACGGAUGGCGUAAAUGGUCUGGCCUUAUUGGAUUGGUCCAGGCUGUGAAGUUGUCCCAGGAAAUAGCCCCUCCGUAUAGACCGUACCCUAAACCGACACAGGUGGAAUGGUAGAGUAUACCAAGGCGUUUGAGAGAAGUAUCCUGAAGGAACUCGGCAAAUUGCCUCCGUACCUUCGGAAGAAGGAGGCCCCACAUUAAGGCAACUUUUUGUGGGGGGCACAGGCCAGGGGGUAGCGACUGUUUAGCAAAAACACAGGGCUCUGCUAAGUCGGCUUCAAGACGACGUAUAGGGCCUGACGCCUGCCCGGUGCCUGAAGGUUAAGAGGAGGUGUGCAAGCACUGAAUUGAAGCCCAGGUAAACGGCGGCCGUAACUAUAACGGUCCUAAGGUAGCGAAAUUCCUUGUCGGGUAAGUUCCGACCUGCACGAAUGGCGUAACGACUUCCCCACUGUCUCCAGGAUAUGCUCAGCGAAAUUGAAUUCUCCGUGAAGAUGCGGAGUACCCGCGGUUAGACGGAAAGACCCCGUGCACCUUUACUGCAGCUUCAGAGUGGCAUUAGGAAAGAACUGUGUAGCAUAGGUGGGAGGCUUUGAAGCAUUGACGCCAGUUGAUGUGGAGCCAUAGGUGAAAUACCACCCUGUUGUUUUCUGAUGUCUAACCUCGCACCGUUAUCCGGUGCAGGGACCCUCUGUGGCGGGUAGUUUGACUGGGGCGGUCGCCUCCUAAAGAGUAACGGAGGCGCGCGAUGGUGGGCUCAGGACGGUUGGAAACCGUCUGUUAGAGUGCAAUGGCAUAAGCCCGCCUGACUGCGAGACUGACAAGUCGAGCAGAGACGAAAGUCGGUCAUAGUGAUCCGGUGGUCCCUCGUGGAAGGGCCAUCGCUCAACGGAUAAAAGGUACGCCGGGGAUAACAGGCUGAUGAUUCCCAAGAGCUCAUAUCGACGGAAUCGUUUGGCACCUCGAUGUCGGCUCAUCACAUCCUGGGGCUGGAGCAGGUCCCAAGGGUUUGGCUGUUCGCCAAUUAAAGUGGUACGUGAGCUGGGUUCAGAACGUCGCGAGACAGUUUGGUCCCUAUCUGCCGUGGGCGUCGAAAUUUGAGAGGAGUUGACCCUAGUACGAGAGGACCGGGUUGAACAUACCUCUGGUGUACCUGUCGUUCCGCCAGGAGCGCAGCAGGGUAGCUAUGUAUGGACGGGAUAACCGCUGAAAGCAUCUAAGCGGGAAGCCUCCCUCAAGAUAAGAUUUCAUCGAGCCGUCGUAGACCACGACGUUGAUAGGCCGGAUGUAGAAGUGUGGUAACAUAUGGAGCUAACCGGUCCUAAUUGCUCUGUUCGCGCCUGA